RNAcentral lists this ribosomal RNA (1403 nucleotides) under Escherichia coli. RNAcentral describes it as "partial 23S ribosomal RNA". It matches the Rfam family "Bacterial large subunit ribosomal RNA", at positions 165 to 1610 of the family's 2925-position model. The record is from RNAcentral. Lineage: Bacteria; Pseudomonadati; Pseudomonadota; Gammaproteobacteria; Enterobacterales; Enterobacteriaceae.
CAUAGGUUAAUGAGGCGAACCGGGGGAACUGAAACAUCUAAGUACCCCGAGGAAAAGAAAUCAACCGAGAUUCCCCCAGUAGCGGCGAGCGAACGGGGAGCAGCCCAGAGCCUGAAUCAGUGUGUGUGUUAGUGGAAGCGUCUGGAAAGGCGCGCGAUACAGGGUGACAGCCCCGUACACAAAAAUGCACAUGCUGUGAGCUCGAUGAGUAGGGCGGGACACGUGGUAUCCUGUCUGAAUAUGGGGGGACCAUCCUCCAAGGCUAAAUACUCCUGACUGACCGAUAGUGAACCAGUACCGUGAGGGAAAGGCGAAAAGAACCCCGGCGAGGGGAGUGAAAAAGAACCUGAAACCGUGUACGUACAAGCAGUGGGAGCACGCUUCGGCGUGUGACUGCGUACCUUUUGUAUAAUGGGUCAGCGACUUAUAUUCUGUAGCAAGGUUAACCGAAUAGGGGAGCCGAAGGGAAACCGAGUCUUAACUGGGCGUUAAGUUGCAGGGUAUAGACCCGAAACCCGGUGAUCUAGCCAUGGGCAGGUUGAAGGUUGGGUAACACUAACUGGAGGACCGAACCGACUAAUGUUGAAAAAUUAGCGGAUGACUUGUGGCUGGGGGUGAAAGGCCAAUCAAACCGGGAGAUAGCUGGUUCUCCCCGAAAGCUAUUUAGGUAGCGCCUCGUGAAUUCAUCUCCGGGGGUAGAGCACUGUUUCGGCAAGGGGGUCAUCCCGACUUACCAACCCGAUGCAAACUGCGAAUACCGGAGAAUGUUAUCACGGGAGACACACGGCGGGUGCUAACGUCCGUCGUGAAGAGGGAAACAACCCAGACCGCCAGCUAAGGUCCCAAAGUCAUGGUUAAGUGGGAAACGAUGUGGGAAGGCCCAGACAGCCAGGAUGUUGGCUUAGAAGCAGCCAUCAUUUAAAGAAAGCGUAAUAGCUCACUGGUCGAGUCGGCCUGCGCGGAAGAUGUAACGGGGCUAAACCAUGCACCGAAGCUGCGGCAGCGACGCUUAUGCGUUGUUGGGUAGGGGAGCGUUCUGUAAGCCUGUGAAGGUGUGCUGUGAGGCAUGCUGGAGGUAUCAGAAGUGCGAAUGCUGACAUAAGUAACGAUAAAGCGGGUGAAAAGCCCGCUCGCCGGAAGACCAAGGGUUCCUGUCCAACGUUAAUCGGGGCAGGGUGAGUCGACCCCUAAGGCGAGGCCGAAAGGCGUAGUCGAUGGGAAACAGGUUAAUAUUCCUGUACUUGGUGUUACUGCGAAGGGGGGACGGAGAAGGCUAUGUUGGCCGGGCGACGGUUGUCCCGGUUUAAGCGUGUAGGCUGGUUUUCCAGGCAAAUCCGGAAAAUCAAGGCUGAGGCGUGAUGACGAGGCACUACGGUGCUGAAGCAACAAAUGCCCUGCUUCCA